GUGCGAUUUUGCUCUCCGUCGCCAUCAGACGUGCGUUCCAAAAAAUCAGAUCCAAAUAGGCAUUAAUUCUCAAAACUACAACUUUACAAUAAUUUUACCGCGAGUGAAUCAGUUUUUUGACGUUUAAAUUGCAAAAUGGCUGACUUUCAGUGUUUUUUUUUAUUCUAACCGGCCAGUGUAUGUCGUAAAGUGCCAGUACCCAUGUUGUAGUAGGAAAACGAUUUUUAUGACAAAAAUUACAUCAUGACAAUUCGAGAAUGACAAUGGAGGACUAUUAUUGUACUCGGGAGUUUAUUCAUAAUUUUUAGCCUUAAUAGUGAUUUUUCUAUUGUAUAGAGUCGAAUUAUAGUUUUUUUGUUGUAUUUGUAUACAGAUAUUUCGUUAUUUCUGAAUGUUAAUGGUUUAUAAUCAAUAAAAAUAAUGUAUUUACUAGUUUUAAUGUUACGUCUAGAUCAAAACUUGAAUAAUCCUGUUCUAAUACAUAUAAUCUGUUUGUAUAUAUGUUUAAUUUUACUGUAUAGUGUAUAAAAUUACCAUUUCUGUAGUAUCUACAGGUAGCAAGCACGGACAACCAUCAAUUUCUGCAUUUUACUCUGUGACAAACUCGCAACUUGCUCACACUUAGGAUGCAGGAGUUGUGAAGCACGCCAUCUAGGUUGUACAACUUAAAGUAAAAGUUGCUUGCUACUCGCCGGUAGAUGGGGUUGGAUGUUGAUUUAUUUUGCUGCUUUUGAGAAGAUGAAAGAAGAUAGAAGAAUGUAUUGUGCCGUGCCCUUGUCAUUCUUCUUGCCCGUGUGCUUUCAUACUACUGGACGGAGAACUGAUAAGGGCAUGUCCAAUACAAUUUCAUCGUGGGUUCGUGAGAUCAAGAUUUAAGGAAACUACAAGACUAUGUCUAUUUUUGUUAAAUAUAUUGUAAUUUUUUUGGUAUUAAGGACUUGUGAAUCCAUUUUCGAGCGAGAGGAUUCGAUUCCUGUUUCAAGCAAAGAAUUAUUGGGUUGUUUUCAGUUUUUAUUUAAAAACAUUUUAAAGAAUUCUGAUUAACUUAUCACAAUAAAGACAAAAAUUGUUGACAUGAGACUGGGUUCGAUUCGACUGAUCAUACAUACAUACAAAACUGUCUCCCAUGGAGGUAGACAGAGACUAUGGAACGCCAAUUGUUACGAUUCUUACAUACCUCUUUCGCUUCCUCCACCGACAAGAGUUCAUCAUUGAUUGUAUAUCCAAUAAUUUAAUAGAUACGUACUUACAUGUAAUGAACAGUGUUAGCCACCUUAGUUUUAAUAAUGGGCAAACGCAUGGAAAAGAUAACAUAACAUCAUCACGCCUUUUAUUAUAGGGGUAGGCAGAGGUAUACCUCUGCCU
This is a long non-coding RNA of Spodoptera litura, 1365 nucleotides long. RefSeq lists it as uncharacterized. The record is from RefSeq and is a predicted model, not a curated record. Lineage: Eukaryota; Metazoa; Arthropoda; Insecta; Lepidoptera; Noctuidae.